RNAcentral lists this ribosomal RNA (301 nucleotides) under uncultured bacterium. RNAcentral's name for it is "partial 16S ribosomal RNA". It matches the Rfam family "Bacterial small subunit ribosomal RNA", at positions 509 to 809 of the family's 1533-position model. The record is from RNAcentral.
CAGUCGCCGCGGUAAUACGUAGGUGGCAAGCGUUGUCCGGAAUUAUUGGGCGUAAAGGGCUCGCAGGCGGUUUCUUAAGACUGAUGUGAAAGCCCCCGGCUCAACCGGGGAGGGUCAUUGGAAACUGGGAUACUUGAGUGCAGAAGAGGAGAGUGGAAUUCCACGUGUAGCGGUGAAAUGCGUAGAGAUGUGGAGGAACACCAGUGGCGAAGGCGACUCUCUGGUCUGUAACUGACGCUGAGGAGCGAAAGCGUGGGGAGCGAACAGGAUUAGAUACCCCGGUAGUCCCUGUCUCUUAUAA